GAGGACAACUGAGAUUUAAGCGGCGAUGACGACAGCGAAUGAAGUGAAGAGAACGGGAGGAACUAAACAGACGCACGUGACGGAGUCAACUUCGAUGGGUUUUGUGUGGUUGUAAAAGGUUGGGUUUUUGCAAUCGGUGUUCCUAAUUUUGGCCUGUCUAGUAUGGUGAUUAAGGGUUUUAUGGAUGGAUAAUGACAGAGGAGACGGCGGCACCGGCG
RNAcentral lists this long non-coding RNA (218 nucleotides) under Medicago truncatula (barrel medic). RNAcentral's name for it is "long non-coding RNA (MTRU_LNC006619)". Lineage: Eukaryota; Viridiplantae; Streptophyta; Magnoliopsida; Fabales; Fabaceae. The record is from RNAcentral.